UGGGGAAUAUUGGACAAUGGAGGAAACUCUGAUCCAGCAAUUCUGUGUGUGUGAAGAAGGUUUUAGGACUGUAAAACACUUUUAGUAGGGAAGAAAAAAAUGACGAUACCUACAGAAGAAGCAACGGCUAAAUACGUGCCAGCAGCCGCGGUAAUACGUAUGUUGCGAGCGUUAUCCGGAAUUAUUGGGCUUAAAGGGCAUCUAGGCGGUAAGACAAGUUGAAGGUGAAAACCUGUGGCUCAACCAUAGGCUUGCCUACAAAACUGUUGAACUAGAGUACUGGAAAGGUGGGUGGAACUACACGAGUAGAGGUGAAAUUCGUAGAUAUGUGUAGGAAUGCCGAUGAUGAAGAUAACUCACUGGACAGAAACUGACGCUGAAGUGCGAAAGCUAGGGGAGCAAACAGG
This 407-nucleotide ribosomal RNA is filed under the name Verrucomicrobiota bacterium. RNAcentral's name for it is "Verrucomicrobia bacterium partial 16S ribosomal RNA". It matches the Rfam family "Bacterial small subunit ribosomal RNA", at positions 355 to 776 of the family's 1533-position model. The record is from RNAcentral. Lineage: Bacteria; Pseudomonadati; Verrucomicrobiota.